CCAGCAGCCGCGGUAAUACGUAGGGUGCGAGCGUUAUCCGGAAUUAUUGGGCGUAAAGAGCUCGUAGGCGGUUUGUCGCGUCUGUCGUGAAAGUCCGGGGCUUAACCCCGGAUCUGCGGUGGGUACGGGCAGACUAGAGUGCAGUAGGGGAGACUGGAAUUCCUGGUGUAGCGGUGGAAUGCGCAGAUAUCAGGAGGAACACCGAUGGCGAAGGCAGGUCUCUGGGCUGUAACUGACGCUGAGGAGCGAAAGCAUGGGGAGCGAACAGGAUUAGAUACCCUGGUAGUCCAUGCCGUAAACGUUGGGCACUAGGUGUGGGGACCAUUCCACGGUUUCCGCGCCGCAGCUAACGCAUUAAGUGCCCCGCCUGGGGAGUACGGCCGCAAGGCUAAAACUCAAAGGAAUUGACGGGGGCCCGCACAAGCGGCGGAGCAUGCGGAUUAAUUCGAUGCAACGCGAAGAACCUUACCAAGGCUUGACAUGUUCUCGAUCGCCGUAGAGAUACGGUUUCCCCUUUGGGGCGGGUUCACAGGUGGUGCAUGGUUGUCGUCAGCUCGUGUCGUGAGAUGUUGGGUUAAGUCCCGCAACGAGCGCAACCCUCGUUCCAUGUUGCCAGCACGUCGUGGUGGGGACUCAUGGGAGACUGCCGGGGUCAACUCGGAGGAAGGUGAGGACGACGUCAAAUCAUCAUGCCCCUUAUGUCUUGGGCUUCACGCAUGCUACAAUGGCCGGUACAAUGGGUUGCGAUACUGUGAGGUGGAGCUAAUCCCAAAAAGCCGGUCUCAGUUCGGAUUGGGGUCUGCAACUCGACCCCAUGAAGUCGGAGUCGCUAGUAAUCGCAGAUCAGCAACGCUGCGGUGAAUACGUUCCCGGGCCUUGUACACACCGCCCGUCAAGUCACGAAAGUUGGUAACACCCGAAGCCGGUGGCCUA
The sequence is a ribosomal RNA, 933 nucleotides long. It matches the Rfam family "Bacterial small subunit ribosomal RNA", at positions 508 to 1437 of the family's 1533-position model.